AUGUGUAUAAGAGACAGACCUACAUCUGAGACCACCCACCCUACUUUUCCCACUAGCACUGUCCCAGACUCCACGACCAAAAUCACCUUUUCCACAACUACAACAGGUAUAUUGUCCACCACCAUUACUCUCCCACCCACCUCUUCCUUUCUCCGGACCACAGAAACAGCCACGACUCCUACAACAAACUUGUUCACCACCACCACUGAGAUCACAUCCCACAGUACUUCUAGCUUUACUUCUUCAAUCACCAGCACUGAGACCACAUCACCCAGUAGUCCCAGUUUCACCUCUUCAAUCCCCACCACCAAGACCACUUCACCCAGUACUCCCAAUUUCACCUCUUCAGUCAUCAGCACUGAGAUCACCUCACACAGUACUCCCAGCUUCACUUCUUCAGUCUUCACCACAGAGACCACCUCACACAGUACUCCCAAUUUCACCUCUUCAAUCACCAGCACUGAGACUACCUCACACAGUACUCCCAGUGUCACCUCUUCAAUCCCCACCACUGAGACCACAGAGACCACAGAGACCACCUCACACAGUAUUCCCAGCUUCACCUCUUCAAUCACCAGCACUGAGACGAUCUCACACAGUACUUCCAGCGUCACUUCUUCAAUCCCCACCACCGAGAUCACCUCACAUAUUACUCCCAGCUUCACCUCUUCAAUUCCCACCAUCAAAACCACCUCACACAGCACUCCCAGUUUCACUUCUUCAAUCACCACCACUGAAAUCACACCUCACAGUACUCCCAGCUUCACUUCUUCUUCUACCACCACAAAAACCCCUUUACACAGUACUCCCAGUUUCACUUCUUCAAUGACAACCACAGAGAGCACCUCCAAUAGUAAUCCUAGCUUCACUUCUUCAAUCGUCACCGACAACACCACCUCACACAAUACUCCCAGCUUCUCUUCUUCAACCACAACCACAGAGACCACCUCACACAGUACUGUAAGCUUCACCUCUUCAACCACAGCCACCAAGACCACCUCACACAGUACUGUAAGCUUCACCUCUUCAACCACAGCCACCAAGACCACCUCACACAGCAUACCCAGCUUCACUUCUUCAACCACCACUACCAAGACCACCUCACAGAGUACUCCCAGCUUCACAUCUUCAGUUACCACCACCGAGACCACUUUACACAGUACUCCCAGCUUUACUUCUUCAACCAAAAUCACUGAGACCACAUCACACAGUACUUCCAGCUUCACCUCUUUAAUCACCAACACUGAAACUACCUCACACAGUACUGCCAGCUUCACUUCUUCAUCCACCACUGCAAAGACUACCUCAAACUAUACUUCCAAUUUCACUUCUUCAAUCACUACCACUGAGACCACAUCACACACUACUCCCAGCUUCACUUCUUCAAUCAUCAUCACCAACACUCCCUCACACAAUACUCCCAGUUUUUCUUCUUCAACCACCACCACCCAGACCACCUCAGACAGUACUCCAAGCUUCACUUCUAUAGCCACCACCAACACCAACACAACCUCACAUAGAACUCCCAAUUUCACUUCUUCAAUUGUCACAACCAAGACCACCUCACACAGUACACCCAGUUUCACUUCUUCAAACACCACGACCACCAACACCACCUCAUACAGUACUCCCAGCUUCACUUCUUCAAUCACCACCAAGACCAUGUCACACAGUAUUCACAACUUCACUUCUUCAACCACCACCACCACCAAGGCCACCUCAGACAGUACUACCAGGUUCACUACUUCAAUCACCGCCACCAAUACCACCUCACACAGUACUCCUGGCUUCUCUUUAUCAACCACAACCACAGAGACCACCUCACACAGUACAUCCAGCUUAUCCUCUUCAACCACCACUACCAAAACCACCUCAUACAGUACUGCCAGCUUCAGUUCUUCAUUCACCACCAAUGAGGCCAUCUCACAUAGUACUCCUAACUUCCCCUCUUCAAUCACCACAACUGAGACCACCUCCCACAGUACUCCCAGGUUUACUUCUUCAAUCACCACAACCAAUAACACAUCACAGAGUACUCCCAGAUACACUUCUUCAAUCAUUACCACUGAAACUACCACACAUCGUAUUCCCAGCUUCAUCUCUUCAACCACAACUACCAAGACAACCUCAUAUAGUACACCUAGCUUCACUUCUUCAACCACCACUAUUGAGACUACCUCACACAGUACUCCCAGUGUCACCACUUCAAUAAUCACCACUGAGACCACCUCACACAGUACACCCAGCUUCCCUUCUUUAACCAGAACCACAGAGACCACCUCACACAGUACUUCAAGCUUCACUUCCUCAACGACCACUGAGAUCACCUCACACAGUACUCCCAACAUCACCUCUUUAAUCACAACUACCAUGACCACCUCACAUGGUACACCCUCCUUGACUUUUUCAACCAUGACCACUGAAACCACCUCACAGAGUACUCCCAGUUUCACACCUUCAAUAGCCACCACUGAGACUACCUCACACAGUAUUCUCAGUUUGACUUCUUUAACCAGCACAACCAAGACCACCCCACACAGUAUUCCCAGCUUUAUGUCUUCAACCACCACUGCUGAGAUCACAUCACACAGUACUCCCAGCUUCACCUCUUCUAUAACCAACACCAAAACUACCUCACUCAGUACUCCCAACUUCACUUCUUCAUCCACCACCACAAAGACCAGCACACACAGUACUUCCAACUUCACUUCUUCAAUCACCACCACCGAGACCACGACACACAGUACUCCCAGCUUCACUUCAUUAAUCACCACUACAAACAACACCUCACACAUUACUCCUUGGUUCAGUUCUCCAACCACCACCACCACGACCAAGAACUCCUCACUCAGUACUCUCAGCUUCACUUCUUUAACUACCACCACCAAGCCCACCUCACAUAGUACUCCCAGCUUCACUUCUUCAAUUGCCACCACUAAGACUACCUCACAUAGUACUCCCAGCUUCACUUCUUCAACCGCCACCACCAAGACUACCUCACACAGUACUCCCAGCUUCACCUCUUUAACCACCACCACUACCAAGGAAACCUUGCACAGUACCCCCAGCUUUCUUUCUUCAACCACGACCACCACCAAGACCAUCUCAGACAGUACUCCAAGCUUCAUUUCUUUAACAACUACCAUAAAGACUACCUCACACAGUACUCCCAGCUUCACUUCUUCAAUCACUACCAAGACCACCUUGCACAGUACUCACAGCUUCACUUCUUCAACCGCUAGCACCAAGACCACAUCAGACAGUACUCCCAGGUUCACUACUUCAGUCACCGCAACCAAUACCACCUCACACAGUACUCCCAGCUUCUCUUCAUCAACCACAAACACAGAGACCACCUCACACAAUACUCCCAGCUUAACCUCUUCAACCACAACCACUGACACCACCUCACACAGUACACCCAGUUUCACUUCUUCAACCACCACUACCAAAACCACCUCAGACAGUACUGCCAGCUUCAGUUCUUCAACCACCACCAAUGAGGCCACCUCACAUAGUACAUUCAGCUUCACUUCUUCAAUUGCCACUACCAAGACCACCUCACACAGUACUCCCAGCUUCACCUCUUUAACCAACAGCACGAAGACCACCUUACACAUUACUUCCAGCUUCACUUCUUCAAGCACCACAAUGAAGACCACCUCAGACAGUACUCCAAGCUUCACUUCCUCAAGCAGCACCACCAGGACCACCUCACACAGUACUCUCAGCUUUCCUUCUUUAACCACAACCGCAGAGACCAGGACACAAAGUACUUCAAGCUUCACUUCUUCAACCACCACCACUGAGACCACCUCACAUAGUACUCCCAAGUUCACCUCUUCAACCACAACCACCAAGACCACCUCACACAGUACUCCCAGCUUCACUUUUUCAACUAACACAUCUGAGACCACCUCACAGAAUACUCCCAGUGUCACACCUUCAAUAACCUCCAGUGAGACCACCUCACACAGUACUCUGAGCUUCACUUCUUCAACCACCACUCCCGACACCACCUCACAUAGUACUCCCAGCUUCACUUCUGCAAUCGCCACCACUAAGACCACCUCACAUAGUAGUCCCAGCUUCACUUCUUCAACUGACACCACCAAGACCACCUCACACAGUACUCCCAGCUUCACUUCUGCAAUCACCACCAAGACCACCCCACACAGUACUCACAGCUUCUCUUCAUCACCCACAACCACAGAGACCAUCUCACACAGUACUCCCAGCUUAACCUCUUCAACCACAACCACCGAGACCACCUCCCACAGUACUCACAGCUUCACUUCUUCAACCGCUAGCACCAAGACCACAUCAGACAGUACUCCCAGGUUCACUACUUCAGUCACCGCCACCAACACCACCUCACACAGUACUCCCAGCUUCUCUUCAUCAACCACAACCACAGAGACCACCUCACACAGUACUCCCAGUUUAACCUCUUCAUCCACAACCACCGAGACCACCUCCCACAGUACUCACAGCUUCACUUCUUCAAACACUAGCACCAAGACCACAUCAGACAGUACUCCCAGGUUCACUACUUCAACCAUCCCCAAUGAGACCACCUCGCAUAGUGUUCCCAGCUUCACUUCUUCAGCCACCACCACCACAACCUCAAAGAGUACUCCCGGCUUCACCUCUUUAACCACCAUCAUCAAGACCACCUUACACAGUACUUCCAGCUUCACUUCCUCAACUACCACCAUGAAGACCACCUCAGACAGUACUCCCAGCUUCACGCCUUCAACUGCGACCACCAAGACCACCUCACACAGUACACCCAGCUACACAUGUUCAACCACCACCAGUGAGACUACCUCACACAAUACUCCCAGCUUCACCUUUUCAAUCAGCACCUCUGAGACCACCUCCCACAGUACUCCCAGUUUUACUUCUUCCACCACCACCACCGAGACCACAUCAGAGAAUAUUCCCAGCUUCACCUCUUCAAUCAACACCACUGAAACCACCUCACAUAGUACUUCCAACUUUAUCUCUUCAACCACGACUACCAAGGCGACCUCACAUAGUACACCCAGCUUCACUUCUUCAACCACCACUCCCGAAAGUACCUCACACAGUAUUCCCGGCAUCACCUCUUCAAUCACCACCCCCCACACCAGCUCAAACAGUACUCCUAGCUUCUCUUCUUUAGCCACAAACACAGAGACCACCUCACACAAUACUGCCAGCUUCACUUCUUCAACCACCACCACCAAGACCACCUCACACAGUAAUCCCAGCUUCACUUCUUCAGUCACAACCAAGACCACCUCACAUAGUAUUCACAACUUCACUUCUUCAACCACCACCACCACCAAGACCACCUUACACAGUACAUCCAGCUUCACUUCUUCAACCACCACUCCCGACACCACCUCACAGUGUACUGCCAGCUUCAGUUCUUCAACCACCAUCAAUGAGAGCAUCUCACAUAGUACUCCCAGCUUUACCUCUUCAACCACAACCACCAAGACCACCUCACACAGUACACCCAGCUUCACUUCUUCAACUGCUACUAUCGAGAUCAACUCACACAGUACUCUCCGUUUCACUUCUUCAACUCUCCACUCCAAAGUCAGCACAUCCAGAAGUGCCAUCACCUCAUCUCCCACUGCGUUUGAGACUGGGGUGACUUCCACAGCUGUAAGCGCACCUAGUCAGAGAUCAGAUUACCUGAUCAGAAGGCUAAUACCUUUCACCCCCUCAUCUGUGGACACCAGCACUUCAUUGACUACACAGUACUCCCAGCUCCCCUCUACACCCACUGAUGUCACUACCCCACCAUCCCCAACACAAAUUAUUUGGUCUUCUCCCUCCAUCCAUAAUAAAGAAACCUCAUCCCUUGUGGGCACAAUCUCUCCCAUCAUUUCCACUGUGAGAACCACCCUCAGAAUUACUGAAAACACCCCGAUCAGUUUCCUUAGUACAAGUUUUCUGGUUACACCUGAAACCCCAACGCGUACCCCUCCUGUACUGACCUCUGCCACCGGGACACAAACGUCUUCUGUACAUACUACUCUCACGUUUGGAAGCACAGAUUCCUCCACGUCCACUCUCGAGACUGUUACUCCAUCAACAACCUUGAGCACGAUCAUGUCAACAUCAGAGGUGCCUGUUACUAGCACACAUUCAUCCACCCUGAAAACAACUCCUGCAACCCUCUCAGUGCAAACUUCACUCACGUCUCCGAGUGAGUCUACUACGGAAUCUUUCACUAGGGGAAGUACAUCUACGAAUGCAAUCUUGACUCCUUUUAGUACCAUCAUCUGGUCCUCAACACCCACUACCAUAAUGUCCUCUUCUCCGUCUUCCGCCAGCAUAACUCCAGCGUUCUCCACUACCACUCACUCUGCCCCUUCUUCACCACACAUUUUCAGCACAGAAAAUGUGAGUUCCUCUUCUAUCACAGCCUUUCCUACUCUCUCUUCCUCUGCAACUACCAGCACAUCUCCAACCAGCUCCUCUCUGACCACAACUCUCACCAAAAUAACCCCCUUUUCUUAUAUUUCUCUUCCCUCCACCACACCCUGUCCAGAAACUGUAACAAUUACAAUAGUCCCUGCCUCUCCCACUGAUCCGUGUGUUGAAAUGGAUCCCAGCACUCAAGCUACUUCCACCACCACCCCAUUUACCGUCUUUCCCUUUACCACCGAAAUGGUCACCAGUCCCAGCUCCAUCAGUCUGCGAACUGCCCUUCCUACAUAUAUGGACACGUCUUCCGUGACUCCAGGAAGUUUGCCCAGCAUCACAACCAAUGCUUCCAGUUCCACUGGCACUGGGACUGUACCCACGAACACAGUUUUCACAAGUACUCAAAUGCCGACCAGUGAGACCUGGCUGAGCACCAGCUCCACGAUCCCCCCACCUCUUCCUGGAGUCUCUACCAUCCCACUCACCACGAAACCAAGCAGUAGCCUUCCGACUGUCCUGAGGACUUCAAGCGAGUCAACACACUCCUCCCCACGCACCACCAGGACUUCAGAGACACCAGUGGCCACUACCCAGACUCCUACCACCCUUACGUCGCGCAGGACAACUCCCGUCACUUCCCAGAUGCCCACACAGUCGAGGUUGACCACCACUGCAGGCACCUGUGACAAUGGUGGCACCUGGGAACAGGGCCAGUGUGUUUGCCGUCCGGAGUUCUCUGGGGACCGCUGUCAGCUCCAGAUCCCAUGCCAGAAUGGGGGUCGUUGGGAUGGCCUCAAGUGCCAGUGUCCCAGCACCUUCUAUGGUUCCCGUUGUGAGUUUGCUGUGGAACAGGUGGAUGUAGACUCAGUGGAGACCGAGGUGGCCAUGGAAGUGUCUGUCGACCAGGAGUUCUCCUCUGACCUCAACGACAACGCUUCCCAGGCCUACAGGGAUUUCAACAACACCUUCUGGAAUCAGAUGCAGAAGAUUUAUGCAGAUGUGCAGGGCUUCACCUUCAAGGGUGUGGAGAUCCUGUCCCUGAGGAAUGGCAGCAUCAUGGUGGACUACCUGGUUCUGCUGGAGAUGCCCUUCAGCCCCCAACUGGAGACUGAGUACGAAAAAGUGAAGACGGCAUUGAAGGAGGGGCUGCAGAACGCCAGCCAGAAUGUAGACAGCUGCCAGGACUCCCAGACCCUGUGCUUUAAGCCUGACUCCAUCAAGGUGAACAACGACAGCAGGACAGAGCUGACUCCGAAAGCCAUCUGCAGCCGCGCCGCUCCCGAAGGCUAUGAGGAGUUCUACUUUCCCUUGGUGGAGGCGACCCGGCUCCGCUGCGUCACCAAAUGUACGUCGGGCGUGGACGACGCCAUCGACUGUCACCAGGGCCAGUGCAUUCUGGAGAGGAGCGGUCCUGCUUGUCGCUGCUUCUCCACGGACACGCACUGGUUCUCUGGCCCACGCUGCGAGGUGGCCGUCCACUGGAGGGCGCUGGUCGGGGGCCUGGCGGCGGGCGCCGCCCUGCUGCUGCUGCUGCUGCUGGCGCUGGGCGUCCGGGCGGUGCGCUCCCGAGGAGGGGGCGGCCAGCGCCGAGGCCGGUGAGCGCGCGGGGGGCAGGGCAGGGGGGCGAGGGUGGCCAAGGGGCCCAGGCAGGCCGGCCCUGCCUGACCGCUCGCCAACCCACCUAGGUCCUGGGACCAGGACAGGAAAUGGUUCGAGAUGUGGGAUGAGGAAGUCGUGGGCACUUUUUCAAACUUGGGCUUCGAGGAGGACGACAGAACAGGUGAGUCCUGCCUCCCGGGGGAAGCGGGCAGGGGCUUUCCUGGGCACCACUGCGAGGACAGAUGCCCUCCCUGUAUUCCUCCAAUCUCCUCCUUCUCCUUCUCUCUUCAGUUUCCUUCCUCUUCCCUUCUUUCUCUCUCUCUCUAGACAAGGAUAAAAAUUUCCAUGUGGAUUUGGAGAAGGUGGACACCACUGUGAAGGUGAGGGGCUAAAGCGGGGGACCCAAGGAACUCUCCCAGCCUCCAUUCCAGAUUCCCUCCCCAAGCCCCACCAGGGCAGGGAGGGGGCUGGGCUCGCAUCAGCAGUGACCUCCCUGUCAGCCCAAACAAGUGGCUCCCUAUUCCCGUGCCUCAUUGUGACUCUGUGACAGGUGCACGUUGAGAGGCCAGAGAUGAUCUCCUCAGUGUGAGCCCUGCGGUGCCCCCUCACCACCCACUCCGCCCUGCCCAGGACACAGGGUCUGCACUGCGUCCAUUUCAAGAGGCGGCCCCAGGACCAGUGCAGCCCAGGCUCCUGCUGUUCUUGGGCACAAUGAGACUGUUCCCCCAAAUCACAUCCCUCUCUUUCCAGCCUGGCUGAAAUACACCUGGAAACCCAGUUCACAUCUAGGCUCUUCCACUGUGGAACCUUGGGCAAUUCAGUAACGAGCCUUAGUUUCCUCACUUGAAAAAUGG
Aotus nancymaae (Ma's night monkey) is the source of this 8879-nucleotide long non-coding RNA. The record is from Ensembl. NCBI's taxonomy places the organism in Eukaryota, Metazoa, Chordata, Mammalia, Primates, Aotidae.